GUGCCAGCCGCCGCGGUAAUACGUAGGGUGCAAGCGUUAAUCGGAAUUACUGGGCGUAAAGCGUGCGCAGGCGGUUGUGCAAGACAGAUGUGAAAUCCCCGGGCUUAACCUGGGAACUGCAUUUGUGACUGCACGGCUAGAGUGUGUCAGAGGGGGGUAGAAUUCCACGUGUAGCAGUGAAAUGCGUAGAUAUGUGGAGGAAUACCGAUGGCAAAGGCAGCCCCCUGGGAUAACACUGACGCUCAUGCACGAAAGCGUGGGGAGCAAACAGGAUUAGAUACCCGGGUAGUCC
Molecule: ribosomal RNA, 292 nt
Filed under: uncultured bacterium
Lineage: Bacteria
Description: partial 16S ribosomal RNA
Rfam family: Bacterial small subunit ribosomal RNA
Source: RNAcentral